CCCUACCCCCUAGACUUCCUCCCUCGGAUCUAGUGCCACCCCUUCCCCUCGAAUCACGUCGCCAGCCACGGCCAACCGCCUCCCCCUCAAAUUCUGGCGCAACCACCUCAUCCCCGCCACUUGUCGCCUCCUGUUUGGCCGAGCCAUCUCCUGAGCGCCCCGCAGCCAACCAGGGCAGGCCACGUCGCCCCUGGGUCUCCCUCCAGCCGCGAGGGCCCGCCAAACCCAGAUCGGGCCCAGGCAAGCCCAUCGGGGCCCGCCCCGAGCCCGAGCAGCGCCGCCGCUCCCGCAGGAGCUUCUCCCAUUCCCGAGCAACUCGAGCCCCUGCGCUGCCCGGCUCCUCCGUGCCUCGCCGGCCGGAGCCUUCCCGCGCCGCCCGUCUCCGGCCACUGGACCUCGUCGCCGACGACUGCCUCCUCUAGGGAAUAGAACAUGGAUGUCGCCCCGCUGCCGGAGAUGACCGGUGCCGGCCCGUCGACCCUGCCGGAUCCACGCAACCGCCGCCCCGGAUCAGGUCCCUGUCGCCAUCCGUCGCCAUUCCAUGACCCGCCGGAGCCGGAGCCCCCUGUCGCGUGCCAGCGUUGACCGAAACGGGCAGCCUGCGUGGGCCGCCUCACGCGCACCUGGCCCAGCGCCAGCUCCUGCCUGGGCCUCUCCACCAACCGGCCUGCUAUGGCCCAUGUUCUGAUAACGUCACGUUUGUGAGGAUCCGUUCGACUACAUCUGUUUGUCUUCUUCAUGG
Long non-coding RNA from Triticum urartu, 742 nucleotides. RefSeq lists it as uncharacterized. The record is from RefSeq and is a predicted model, not a curated record. Lineage: Eukaryota; Viridiplantae; Streptophyta; Magnoliopsida; Poales; Poaceae.